Non-coding RNA from Dermatophagoides farinae (American house dust mite), 820 nucleotides. The record is from RefSeq and is a predicted model, not a curated record. NCBI's taxonomy places the organism in Eukaryota, Metazoa, Arthropoda, Arachnida, Sarcoptiformes, Pyroglyphidae.
GCGUGAACACUAGCCUGUUGCUGUUUGUUACUGUCAAAAUUUUUCGGUUAAAUCUGUUUAUUUAUGUGACCCAACAUUUAUUAUCAAAUUGAAACCAACAAACACACCCACAUGUGGUAAACAUAUUUUUUUUGUUGUUUUUAAUGAGAUGACCCUAUCUGUUUGAUGAAUCCAUUUUUUACGGCCAUUUGGACACGCACACACAUCUGGUAAACAUAUGUUUUUGGGUGGCUAAAUCUCUACAGUUUAUAUUAGAAACAAAAAAAAGGAUUGAAUGUCAACCGAAACCAUGAUCUGAUGACCUUAAGAUAUUGCACAUCAAUCCUUGUUUUUGUGAUAUCUUUCUAAAUACAACUCACAUCUCUGUUCAUCAUCUUUAACAAAGGACAAUUAUUUAAUCUUUGGACAACGAGAAAAAUAAACGGAAUCUUUCACAUUUUACAUAUGGUCAUGAUCAAACAACAUCAUAAUCAUCAUUAUCUUUCGUUUCUUUCUGUGUGUAUGUGUGUCGAACUUUGACAUUGUCAAAUUUUACAUAUUUUUAUCUUUCAAAAAAAGAUAAUAAUCCAGACCAUUUUAGCAACGAAAAAAUAUUGAAACUAAUUUCAUACAACACUUGUUUCAUUUUGCAAUCUGUUUUUUGUCAUUUGUUAUAUACAACAGUAGCCACCAUUAUCUUCUUGUUUAUGUUUAUUGUUAUCAACAUUAUCAUCACGUGGUUGUUGACAACAAAUGAACAUAUCAUAGUUUGUCGAUGUAUAUAUAUAGAUAAGAAUAUUAUCGAACGAAAAAAAAAUUACAUCUUGUUCGUAGUGAUUGA